GCAGUGAUGGAAUCAUAAUUGCAGAGACUUCUCCAGAUCAAGUGACUGUGCCACGUGGAGGACUCCAAAUACAAGAUGAUGUAUUUUUCAUGAAACGUCUCUCAGCUUGAACAGCUCGUGCAGCAUCACCAGGUUGAUAAAACAGGUAAAAGGGGGUGUGGGCAGGGAUGGUACAGCAUGCCUAUGGUCUGGCAGGUAGCAUGACACCAUCUGCAUCCCAGCUGCCACAGCUUUGCUCUGUAAAACGUUCUGCACUGUUUCAUCUUCCUGGGCUUUUCAUGGUGCAUUCAUUUCUUUCCUGGAGUGCAUCAAAUGACUUUCCUUCUCACUGCUGAUCAUCAGAAAACUCAUUCCUCUCCCAAGUGCUACACUUCUUACCUUGCCUGUGAAUCCUGCUGUUGCUGUCUGGCACCUGUGGCUGAUACUGGCUGAGGAGGUGUUAAGCUGAGCAGCCACCCCAGAGUGGCACAGGUCAUUUCUGAGAGGGAAUAGAGGGCAUUGAGGUGGAACGUUGGGCAGACCCCAUUUACCCUGUGGAAGACGCUCUUGGUGAUGAAGAAGAGAUACACAUGUUGAUUAAGUACUUUAAGGGUAAGAUGUGGUGAAGAGUUUAUCUGUUGCAAGUCUCUUCUCUUAUAAUCCUGA
Long non-coding RNA from Cyanistes caeruleus (blue tit), 645 nucleotides. RefSeq lists it as uncharacterized. NCBI's taxonomy places the organism in Eukaryota, Metazoa, Chordata, Aves, Passeriformes, Paridae. The record is from RefSeq and is a predicted model, not a curated record.